UUAGAAUACUUAUAAAAUGAGAGUAAAGUAGGCAAUGCUAAAUAUUUUCAUGAAACCCUGUAAGGAACUACACACCAGAGCUCAGUACCGUCUGAAUAAGUGAUAAUUUCUGAAAAUGGAUUUCUUUAAAAGAAUUGCAAUAUAUUUCAACCCACCGCCGGCACAGGAGCCAACGAUUGUCGAUAUUACUAAACGACUAUGCCUUCAGAUUUGGGACUAUUUUCGACCGCCGCCCCCUCCAGUACGCUUUCUGGGCGAUGACAACUUUAUUAAUACCCUCAACGUUAGUUCCCUGAUAUUGGUCUUCGUAUGCCCUUUUAUUAUGGGUAUAUACUUUAAAGAUCUAGUAAAACUAUGCAGAAAACUCUACCAUUGGAAGGCUAUGCUAAGACAGAUAGACCAUAUGGGGAAUAUCGAGGACGAUCAGAGCGAGUUAUCUGAGGAGGAGGAGGAGAUAGCCGACAUAGAAGAUGGAGCAAGGGAAGUCGCUAGACUGGAGGAUGAUCCGAACGAACUUGCUCUAGUCCCUGUCCCAGUCCCAGAACCAAUCCAACUCCCAAUCCCCGUCCCAAACGAUAAUUAGUUAUAUUUUGAUUAAAUUUAGUUCGAAAUUUGCAGUCCAAACUAGUUUUAAAUAAAUGUGCUAUGAUCCUUAAA
RNAcentral lists this small RNA (657 nucleotides) under Drosophila pseudoobscura pseudoobscura. RNAcentral describes it as "GA32787". Lineage: Eukaryota; Metazoa; Arthropoda; Insecta; Diptera; Drosophilidae. The record is from RNAcentral.